RNAcentral lists this long non-coding RNA (299 nucleotides) under Pan paniscus (pygmy chimpanzee). RNAcentral's name for it is "lncRNA (ENSPPAG00000045002.1)". The record is from RNAcentral. Lineage: Eukaryota; Metazoa; Chordata; Mammalia; Primates; Hominidae.
AUUUUCUUUUCUUUUUUUUUCAUUUUUAAUUAACUUUGAAGUUCCAGAGUACAUGUGCAGAUUUGCUAUGUAGGUAAACCAGUGUCAUGGGGGUUUGUCAUACAGAUUAUUUUGUCACCCCAGGGAUUAAGCCUAGUAUCCACUGGAAACCACAGGACACUUUGAAACUCCUUCAGGACAGAGGCUUUGAGGGAGAAGGCUGCAAGGAGUCCUGUGGGAGGCCCUGGGGUCUUAUUAGUCGAAGGAAACAAAUCAUCAUACCUUUAAUACUGGCUCCAAUUGGCUCCUUUCAUGAGUAG